Long non-coding RNA from Fukomys damarensis (Damara mole-rat), 1299 nucleotides. RefSeq lists it as uncharacterized. The record is from RefSeq and is a predicted model, not a curated record. The transcript is spliced from 5 exons. Lineage: Eukaryota; Metazoa; Chordata; Mammalia; Rodentia; Bathyergidae.
GAAGCAUACAGCAGCCAGCCGAGUAGAUCUCAGGAUCAUAGCAACAACACAAUCCACAAUUAUUCCUCUUCAGCCAUGCAUGUCUCCAGGAGCCUUGAAGGGUGGGGAGCACAAAUGUGAAGAUGACAAGACCCGGCUGAAAAUCCCACGACACUAUCAGCCACCCCACCUUGGCUGAAGAAGACAUGUCCCAAGACCCCCAGUGAAUGCUUCAAACCACAGAUGGAGCAUGGAAAAGGGACAGCGCUGGAAGGGGAAUUCUCCAGAGAACUUGGAGUCUACUCUACUAAUCUAAGAAGGGGAAACUCAGGAUUAAAGAAGUAAAUUAAAUCAACAACAAAAUGAAAAGAAGGUAGAACUAACACCUAUAUUCACAUUUGACUGAAGCCAAAGUUAUUCUUGUGAACUGGUAUGUCGAUCAUGCCCAUAGAUAACUAACUAGUGUCCACUGUGAAGAAACAAGGCACCAGAGGGAGGAUUUGUACUUGGAGAAAGAAGAAAGCACAACACAGACAAAGACAAUGAAAUCUGACUACACACCAGUGGGACUGUGCUUAGUUCAAAACUCCAGGCAUGAAGCCCAAAUAGAUUCAGGCUCAGCUUUAUCCUUACACAACAGGGAAGAUGAUAAAAUGCAUUUACUUAGUCUUGCAUCAUGAGAGCCAAAUGAUUCCAAACUGAACUAAUCCUGUUCUAUCCCAGGAGCAGUGUUUUGGUUCUCCGCAAUACACAUGUCAAAAUGGUGAUGUUGUGGCAUGAUACAUUUCCACAACACCCCUUCAAGUGUGAUCAGGCAUGUACUCCAGCACAUAAAUGCUCUGUAUACAUUUGCUUAAAUAAAUAAUUCAUGAAACUACAAAUACCUAUCCCUGAAGCAGCUUCCAACUCUUAAACACUCGAAGCAUGCUCAUCCUCAUUUUAAACAGGAGGAGAUGAAGUGCACGUUGUGAUUCAGAUGGAGGGGCUGCCAAUCCACUGAGACCUAUUUCGAAUUAGUAAGGAGUUUGCUACUGUAUAUCAACACAGCAGGGGGAAUUUUAUUUCAAAGGCAAAAUGCUGAGAUUACGUACUGAUUUCACUGGUCCUCACUGGAAGCAAUCCUGGGACAAGAGCAUGGACUUCCAAACUGCUGCUCAUUUCCUCUGCCUUGUGAAGGGAUCUAAGGACUGACUGAGCUCCCUCCUGCAACACACUGGGCUCCCAAACACAGCUCAUUAAGAGUUCACCUCUACCCAGCAAACCAGGCCUCCUACGUCUAGCAUGCUAUGAGUUGAAGGAUUAAUAAAGCACAGCAUAGAA